CGCUGGGUAGACUAGUAAAUUGUGCAGUUUCUUCCUCACAACUAGCAAAAAUGAAGUAUACCUUAGCAAUCCUCGUCAUCUUCGCCAUUUUCUACUACGUCAUGGCGCAAGAGGAGGAUCCGUCUUCCGAAAGUAAGGAAGACGGUGGUCAACUGCGCGGGAUAUGGCGAGCCGCCCUGCACUAAAUCACAUGGCAGGUGGGAAUUUACAUGCAAAGACGAACAAGCCCUUCGCACUUGUUAGGAAUAGGAAAGCGUAGUUCUGUAGUCUGUCUUGCUGUAUUAUUAGUUGCUAAUGUAGAAUCUGCGAAAAUUAAACUCUGAAUUAUUAACUCGUU
This is a long non-coding RNA of Photinus pyralis (common eastern firefly), 337 nucleotides long. RefSeq lists it as uncharacterized. NCBI's taxonomy places the organism in Eukaryota, Metazoa, Arthropoda, Insecta, Coleoptera, Lampyridae. The record is from RefSeq and is a predicted model, not a curated record. The transcript has 2 exons.